This is a long non-coding RNA of Phalaenopsis equestris, 814 nucleotides long. RefSeq lists it as uncharacterized. The record is from RefSeq and is a predicted model, not a curated record. NCBI's taxonomy places the organism in Eukaryota, Viridiplantae, Streptophyta, Magnoliopsida, Asparagales, Orchidaceae. The transcript has 2 exons.
CAACGAGGUCACCUAUAGAGCAUUAAAAACGAGGGCACGGCCUUUCUUUUCUCCAAUUCGCUCGCGUUCACCCGUCGAUUGCGCGGGGAGUCUCCGCACAGUGAUACUAUUUCAUUCACGCCAUAGAAUCGCUCUGGACACACCUAGCGAACCUGUACUCCAUGAAACCGCAGACUACAUUGAGGUAAAGCAUCCUGUGUCCAAUCAUGCUCCCGCCUUCUCAAUCUGCCCCAGGCAAGUCUCCUUGCACCGCUUUACUUAUUCCUUACUUUCAGAUAAUCGGCUCCUGCCGACUUACCUUUCUGGAUCGAUCCUAAAAGACCAUGAAACUCUCCCAUAAAAGGGUUUUUACCGCGUUAAUUUUUUCUCUGCACCUACAUUACACACUCGGCGACAUUCCUACAAAACGCCCUCAGUGACAUUCCUACAUUACGCACCUUUCUGGAUUCGCUCCCGACGCUAACACACCCUCAAGAUUGGAGAGAGAAUACUUGAUAACUAUUGCAGGUCUCAUAUUUUUUGGGUAUGACUUUAAUGGAAGAUAAGAACAUAUAUAUGCUCAACAAGUGGAAAUCAUAGAGCAUAUUUUCCUUGUAACUUUGUUAUGGUAAUUUGGAACCGUAUUCUAAGUUUAUUUAACAGGAGUUUGGAGAGGAGGUUGGUGAAUACUAUUGAUGGUUACAUUCAGGUUGGAACAGUUUUGGUGGUCGGUUUUUUUGUUAAUAUUUCUAUUAUUGUGUUCUUGUUUAUACGUAUGGCUAGAAAUGAGGUUAAAUACAUUGAGAAGGGUGUUGAUAUCUCUUAUACUUUCAAA